Molecule: long non-coding RNA, 416 nt
Organism: Chrysoperla carnea
Lineage: Eukaryota; Metazoa; Arthropoda; Insecta; Neuroptera; Chrysopidae
Exons: 3
Source: RefSeq, a predicted model, not a curated record
AUUAUCUAUGGCUGUGAUAUUUGUUUAUUUAAUUUUUUUUUUGAGGUUAAUUAUAUCAUUUUUAUUCCCCGUUGUAUUUUGAUUAAAACAUUUUUAAUUUAAAUAAUGUUUCAAUAAGUUACUUGAAGAAUAAUUAUUUAUUGUAAAGAUGGUUGUAAAAGUUUUCAGAUACAAAUAUUGGCAAGCAGUUGGACUAAAAUUAUAUUUCUAAAAAGAGAUCAAUCAUCGAGAUGAUAUUGAAUCCGGACAAUUCCUAUAACUCGCCGAUGUACCUAUUAAUCCGAAUGUUGAAUGGAAACCUAUGGAAAUAUCUGACCAAGGCAUUUUAUGAAAAUACUGAUUCGCCAAAACACUUACGGAAUAGCUGACCGAGCACUUUUUAUGGAUUUUCAAUGUUUUAUUAAAUAAAUUAAAGG